AGAUGAGUCUUCCCUGAUACUUUAAGUAUCCUAAAGGGUUGUUCGAGACUAGAACGUUGAUAGGCAGGGUGUGUAAGCGUUGUGAGGCGUUGAGCUAACCUGUACUAAUUGCCCGUGAGGCUUAACCAUACAACACCCAAGGGGUUUUGUA
Molecule: ribosomal RNA, 151 nt
Filed under: Vibrio cholerae
Lineage: Bacteria; Pseudomonadati; Pseudomonadota; Gammaproteobacteria; Vibrionales; Vibrionaceae
Description: partial 23S ribosomal RNA
Rfam family: Bacterial large subunit ribosomal RNA (bases 1-129)
Source: RNAcentral